AUGGGCACUCUAGGGUGACUGCCGGUGACAAACCGGAGGAAGGUGGGGAUGACGUCAAAUCAUCAUGCCCCUUAUGACCUGGGCUACACACGUACUACAAUGGCUGGUACAACGGGAAGCGAAGCCGCGAGGUGGAGCCAAUCCUAAAAAGCCAGUCUCAGUUCGGAUUGCAGGCUGCAACUCGCCUGCAUGAAGUCGGAAUUGCUAGUAAUCGCGGAUCAGCAUGCCGCGGUGAAUACGUUCCCGGGUCUUGUACAC
This 258-nucleotide ribosomal RNA is filed under the name Paenibacillus alvei. Its description in RNAcentral is "partial 16S ribosomal RNA". It matches the Rfam family "Bacterial small subunit ribosomal RNA", at positions 1131 to 1388 of the family's 1533-position model. The record is from RNAcentral. Lineage: Bacteria; Bacillati; Bacillota; Bacilli; Caryophanales; Paenibacillaceae.